Molecule: ribosomal RNA, 650 nt
Filed under: uncultured bacterium
Lineage: Bacteria
Description: bacterial SSU rRNA
Rfam family: Bacterial small subunit ribosomal RNA
Source: RNAcentral
UGCAGUCGAGCGAACAGAAGGGAGCUUGCUCCCGGAUGUUAGCGGCGGACGGGUGAGUAACACGUGGGUAACCUGCCUGUAAGACUGGGAUAACUCCGGGAAACCGGAGCUAAUACCGGAUAGUUCCUUGAACCGCAUGGUUCAAGGAUGAAAGACGGUUUCGGCUGUCACUUACAGAUGGACCCGCGGCGCAUUAGCUAGUUGGUGGGGUAAUGGCUCACCAAGGCGACGAUGCGUAGCCGACCUGAGAGGGUGAUCGGCCACACUGGGACUGAGACACGGCCCAGACUCAUACGGGAGGCAGCAGUAGGGAAUCUUCCGCAAUGGACGAAAGUCUGACGGAGCAACGCCGCGUGAGUGAUGAAGGUUUUCGGAUCGUAAAGCUCUGUUGUUAGGGAAGAACAAGUGCGAGAGUAACUGCUCGCACCUUGACGGUACCUAACCAGAAAGCCACGGCUAACUACGUGCCAGCAGCCGCGGUAAUACGUAGGUGGCAAGCGUUGUCCGGAAUUAUUGGGCGUAAAGGGCUCGCAGGCGGUUUCUUAAGUCUGAUGUGAAAGCCCCCGGCUCAACCGGGGAGGGUCAUUGGAAACUGGGAAACUUGAGUGCAGAAGAGGAGAGUGGAAUUCCACGUGUAGCGGUGAAAUGCG